AGGACAUUCCAGGACAAACAAGAUACUACAGAUACAAAGGCACCGAGGACCCUUAAAUGAGGGAUGGGUCUCCCCUUUUCUUUUUCUCAUUUUCCUAGAGGUUACAAGAUUCCUGUUUUUCUCACCAGGAGGAGAGGUCAGCCUCAGUGAGCUCAUAGCAGUCAUACAUUGCCAGUGUUUUUCCUCAAGUGGAAGGAGAAAGGCCUUCAGAAAAAAAAUCGUAUGCAAACCUAGUGCUACCACCAGCAGUAGCUCUGAAUCGAGAUUUUUGGGAGAAUUAGGCUUACUAAAGAUAAACUACAAUAAGUCUCAAGGAAGCAAAUAAUUCUGAUUCUAAUGAGGAAUCCAAGAAUAAAGGCAGCUCUUAAGGCCAAGUACUCUGACUAGAAAAUAUCCUCAUAUUUGAUGGAAGACAGCAUGAGACGGAGAACCAAGUUCCUUAAAGUUGAUCUUGGAGCUCUGAGGGCAGAGGUGUGAACUGAUAUCAACACUUUCAGCUUAGCCUUCUAGAAUUGAGCAGUUUUAUCUUCUAAGUGAAUAAUUCAGCUCAGGUACGGAAGUGAACUGUCUGUGGGUGACUUGCCUGGAUGCCGGCUAUAGCUGCAGCCCCCAAAGUCGAAGCUACCAGAACAGGUUGGAUGAGGAUGGCCCAAAGAUUAUGGAGUUGCUGGCCCCAAAGCAAGUCAGACACUAUGGGAAGUUUGCAUGAAUCAUGCCCUUGGAUAGACAACCUAAAUCAUACCUCAUCGAGCAUGGAUCCUGGUCAGCAUACCAAGUCAAGGCAAGUAAAGACUGAAGAAAUAUCACCUGGUCUGCAGCUCCCCCCAGAACGAAGUCUGCUACUGAUGGCAGAAGCAUAGAUAGACCAAGGGUAUCACUAUGUAAUGAUGGAAGAAGGAAAAACCCCAUGCAUUCACUCAUGUCUUGAAUCACCUAGAGAAGAGAGGGAAUCUGCCAAAGUGGACACAAUAGAAAUUCAGUUCUAAAUUUGGAGGAAAUGAGGCCCACUCUCAGAUAAGAUGAAAAGUAAAAGCCCUAGGAUCCAAUGGGGUAUUAAACAAAUAUUUAAAAGUAGAGAGGUGGUGACCAGUUAUUUCCUGAUAUAUAGAAUACCAUGGGUCCAUAAAGAAUUUUUUAGAGUAUCAAUAUUAUUAACACUUUGAAGAAGACAUAUGAAAAACUGAUUAAAUUAUAAAUUAGGAAAUCAUAGAUCAUUACUAUUUGUAGCCUCUCUACUCCCCUCUGAUUACAGAACUUUAGGCAGUUUGUCUGGAUUGGUGAUUGCUGGAUAAAAGCUCAAGAAAAGAAAGUAGCCAUCAAGAUACUUCUCUUGGGAGGCCGAGGCGGGCAG
This 1351-nucleotide long non-coding RNA is filed under the name Homo sapiens (human). RNAcentral's name for it is "long non-coding RNA NONHSAT170877.1". Lineage: Eukaryota; Metazoa; Chordata; Mammalia; Primates; Hominidae. The record is from RNAcentral.